Long non-coding RNA from Drosophila innubila, 306 nucleotides. RefSeq lists it as uncharacterized. The record is from RefSeq and is a predicted model, not a curated record. The transcript has 2 exons. NCBI's taxonomy places the organism in Eukaryota, Metazoa, Arthropoda, Insecta, Diptera, Drosophilidae.
ACAACAUCGCAACUAGUAAAGAUGAAGCUGGAAUUAGUUUUAUUGGCAGUUGUUCUGUUUUUAGUUUUUGCCAUAACUGUUAGAGGAGAGGAUAAUAUCCCGGAUUACUAUGCGGAUUACAAUGACAAGGAUCUGAUAGAAGAGGGAAACGCUACAUUUAAAUAAAUACAAAACGCAGAGUGUUAAAAUACAAAAGACAGACCGGUUUUAUUGUUAAAAAUUAAUAAAUAUGAAUGUUAUUGUAUUUAUAUUCAAGACACUUUACAUUUAAGUAAUACGCAAAAUAUACGCAUUUAUUUACAGAUA